AUCGGCAUUGCUGAUGAGCGCUGAGACGAUUUCGCCGCUCGCGAUGCCGCAUCGUCCAUAGCUUUUGACCACGGAUGUACUGGCACUGGUGAUAGGACGAUGAUCAGGAAGGUCGGUGCGAUUUCGCCCCGGCCUUUUUUGUU
Non-coding RNA from Rhizobium sp. R72, 143 nucleotides. The record is from Rfam. NCBI's taxonomy places the organism in Bacteria, Pseudomonadati, Pseudomonadota, Alphaproteobacteria, Hyphomicrobiales, Rhizobiaceae.